RNAcentral lists this long non-coding RNA (261 nucleotides) under Elaeis guineensis (African oil palm). RNAcentral describes it as "long non-coding RNA (EGUI_LNC042724)". The record is from RNAcentral. Lineage: Eukaryota; Viridiplantae; Streptophyta; Magnoliopsida; Arecales; Arecaceae.
UGGGUAUCCACUGAGGUUGAUCUAAUCAAGAGUCUCGAUCUCAUCGGGGUGCUAGCUCUCUUAUAGAGAUCGCUCUCCGGAUUGUCGAAUCGGUUUGAAAUCUGAUCAAAUCUGAUUUUUUUUUUCUACUUUUCUCUUCUCAAAAGAAAAUUCAAGAUCUAUAGAAGAAAAUAAGUGAUCAAAUUUUUUGAUCUUCCUUCUUGUCCAACUCUUGGACUAGAUUUGAGGAAAGGAAGAGAAUCGUCCAUCUCAUGGAUCAAA